Long non-coding RNA from Mirounga angustirostris (Northern elephant seal), 1194 nucleotides. RefSeq lists it as uncharacterized. NCBI's taxonomy places the organism in Eukaryota, Metazoa, Chordata, Mammalia, Carnivora, Phocidae. The transcript is spliced from 3 exons. The record is from RefSeq and is a predicted model, not a curated record.
UCUCCCGCUCCCCCUGCUUGUGUUCCCUCUCUCGCUGUGUCUCUCUCUAAUAAAUAAAUAAAUAAAAUCUUUAAAAAAAAAAUGCUUUAUAGACGGCAGCACCACACAAGUGCAAGAGAUUGUCAUCACUCAGGAAGAAUAUUCACACUCCCCUGGCUGUGUAGAACCCCUUACUUGCAUAUAAUAAUUGAACCGAGCACUUUCUAUACAAAAGACAGGCUAGACACUACGUUUGGGGAGAAGCGCAAAGAUGAAUCAUACGCGGGUUUUUACACUCUAGAAGGUGACAUGUAAGGGAGGCGGCGGUGAGUGGUGUGAGAGAGGGUCAAACAAAGUCGUCGGGGGCUCAGAGAGACCCCCAGAAGCCCCAGCACACCGGCCUCUGGGCUGCUCCAGCCACGGGGACGGGCGCACCACCCCGCAGCUCCUAAAUUCUCAGGUUCAACACUCAGCCUGGCGCACAGCGGACAGGGUGACCGACUGUGCCGGUCGGCCUGCCACUCUCCUGGUUUUUCCACAGAAACCUCUCAGUCCCGGGGAAACCGGCACGGCCCGUCACCCUCACAGCAGCUGCCAGAGGCCGUUUUAUGGAGCUAAGCAGUAUUCUAGCGCCAGCCACAACCGGGGGUAGCGCCUGAGGCCCCACCCCGCCGUCCUGGGAGGAGGGAGCCUGAUUGGACCUGCUGAGGUCAGGUGAUCACUCAGGGCCAAUCAGCCGUGGCCGCCGCAGGACGGGCUCCCGCACCGAACAUGGCCGCCAGGGGCCCGCAGCGCCGGGCGGGGUAACACUUUGAUAAGCCACUUGAGGGGGGAAGUGCUAUGCACCCAAGGAUACCAGCUCUCAGCCCAGCCUAGAAGAGACGUACACCAGGAACCACAUGCGGGAUCUGAAAGGAGGAGCCCAAAGAAGGAGGGAGGUGGCACAAGCCCUGACAGAGGACCUGAGGACUUUUAUCAACAGCAGACAGCGAGAGAGAAAUGCAGAGGGAGAAGCAGGCUCCCAAGGAGCAGGGAGCCCGAUGCGGGACUCGAUCCCAGGACCCUGAGAUCAUGACCUGAGCCGAAGGCAGACGCUUAACCAACUGAGCCACCCAGGCGCCCCGGCUUUUUUUUUUUUUUUUAAUAAAAUGUCUCACUUGGCACAUGAAAUCCUCCUUAAUUAUAGACAUGUUUUCUCUCCUCUACUAGACUUGG